GACGUAGGGGGCGAGCGUUGUCCGGAUUUAUUGGGCGUAAAGAGCGUGUAGGCGGCCAGGUAGGUCUGCUGUGAAAACUCGAGGCUCAACCUCGAGACGUCGGCGGAAACCAUCUGGCUAGAGUCCGGAAGAGGAGAGUGGAAUUCCUGGUGUAGCGGUGAAAUGCGCAGAUAUCAGGAAGAACACCCGUGGCUAAGGCGGCUCUCUAGUACGGUACUGACGCUGAGACGCGAAAGCGUGGGGAGCGAACAGG
Molecule: ribosomal RNA, 253 nt
Filed under: uncultured bacterium
Lineage: Bacteria
Description: partial 16S ribosomal RNA
Rfam family: Bacterial small subunit ribosomal RNA
Source: RNAcentral